RNAcentral lists this ribosomal RNA (393 nucleotides) under uncultured bacterium. RNAcentral's name for it is "partial 16S ribosomal RNA". It matches the Rfam family "Bacterial small subunit ribosomal RNA", at positions 523 to 918 of the family's 1533-position model. The record is from RNAcentral.
AUACGGAAGGUCCGGGCGUUAUCCGGAUUUAUUGGGUUUAAAGGGAGCGCAGGCGGAGAUGCAAGCGUGACGUCAAAUUUCGGGGCUCAACCCCGUCUCGCGUCGCGAACUGCGUCCCUUGGUUGCGGGAAGGGGAGGCGGAACUCGUGGUGUAGCGGGGGAAUGCAUAGAUAUCACGAAGAACUCCGAUCGCGAAGGCAGCCUUCCGGCCCGUCAACGACGCUCAUGCUCGAAGGUGCGGGUAUCAAACAGGAUUAGAUACCCUGGUAGUCCGCACAGUAAACGAUGGACACCCGCGGUUUGGCCUAUAUGGCUGAGCCGCCAAGCGAAAGCGUUAAGUGUCCCACCUGGGGAGUACGCCGGCAACGGUGAAACUCAAAGGAAUUGACGGGG